RNAcentral lists this ribosomal RNA (492 nucleotides) under uncultured bacterium. RNAcentral's name for it is "partial 16S ribosomal RNA". It matches the Rfam family "Bacterial small subunit ribosomal RNA", at positions 29 to 507 of the family's 1533-position model. The record is from RNAcentral.
AGUGAACGCUGGCGGUAGGCCUAACACAUGCAAGUCGAACGGCAGCACAGUAAGAGCUUGCUCUUACGGGUGGCGAGUGGCGGACGGGUGAGGAAUACAUCGGAAUCUACUUUUUCGUGGGGGAUAACGUAGGGAAACUUACGCUAAUACCGCAUACGACCUACGGGUGAAAGCAGGGGAUCUUCGGACCUUGCGCGAUUGAAUGAGCCGAUGUCGGAUUAGCUAGUUGGCGGGGUAAAGCCCCACCAAGGCGACGAUCCGUAGCUGGUCUGAGAGGAUGAUCAGCCACACUGGAACUGAGACACGGUCCAGACUCCUACGGGAGGCAGCAGUGGGGAAUAUUGGACAAUGGGCGCAAGCCUGAUCCAGCCAUACCGCGUGGGUGAAGAAGGCCUUCGGGUUGUAAAGCCCUUUUGUUGGGAAAGAAAAGCAGCAGGUUAAUACCCCGCUGUUCUGACGGUACCCAAAGAAUAAGCACCGGCUAACUUCGCG